GUGCCAGCAGCCGCGGUGAUACGUAGGUGGCAAGCGUUGUCCGGAUUUAUUGGGCGUAAAGCGAGCGCAGGCGGUUUCUUAAGUCUGAUGUGAAAGCCCCCGGCUCAACCGGGGAGGGUCAUUGGAAACUGGGAGACUUGAGUGCAGAAGAGGAGAGUGGAAUUCCAUGUGUAGCGGUGAAAUGCGUAGAUAUAUGGAGGAACACCAGUGGCGAAGGCRGYUYUYUGGUCUGUAACUGACGCUGARGCUCGAAAGCGUGGGGAGCAMWYWSKWUUARAUACCCUGGUAGUCCACGCCGUAAACGAUGAUKUKCUWAGUGUUGGAGGGUUUCCGCCCUUCAGUGCUGCAGCUAACGCAUUAAGCACUCACGCCUGGGGAGUACGACCGCAAGGUUGAAACUCAAAGGAAUUGACGGGGGCCCGCACAAGCGGUGGAGCAUGUGGUUUAAUUCGAAGCAACGCGAAGAACCUUACCAGGUCUUGACAUCCUUUGACCACUCUAGAGAUAGAGCUUCCCCUUCGGGGGCAAAGUGACAGUGGGUGCAUGGUUGUCGUCAGCUCGUGUCGUGAGAUGUUGGGUUAAUUCCCCCAACGAGCGCAACCCUUAUUGUUAGUUGCCAUCAUUCAGUUGGGCACUCUAGCAAGACUGCCGGUGACAAACCGGAGGAAGGGGGGGAUGACUCUAAUCUCCUGCCCCCUAUGACCUGGGCUACACCCUUGCUACAAUGGUAAUACAAC
This 737-nucleotide ribosomal RNA is filed under the name Enterococcus sp. BD8. RNAcentral's name for it is "partial 16S ribosomal RNA". It matches the Rfam family "Bacterial small subunit ribosomal RNA", at positions 505 to 1243 of the family's 1533-position model. The record is from RNAcentral. Lineage: Bacteria; Bacillati; Bacillota; Bacilli; Lactobacillales; Enterococcaceae.